This 253-nucleotide ribosomal RNA is filed under the name uncultured bacterium. RNAcentral's name for it is "partial 16S ribosomal RNA". It matches the Rfam family "Bacterial small subunit ribosomal RNA", at positions 524 to 776 of the family's 1533-position model. The record is from RNAcentral.
UACGGAGGGUGCAAGCGUUGUCCGGAUUUAUUGGGUUUAAAGGGUGCGUAGGCGGUCUUUUAAGUCAGUGGUGAAAGCCUCCAGCUUAACUGGAGAACUGCCAUUGAUACUGGAAGACUUGAGUACAGACGAGGUAGGCGGAAUUGACAGUGUAGCGGUGAAAUGCAUAGAGAUCGGGAGGAAUGCCAGUGGCGAAAGCGGCUCUCUGGUCCUAAACUGACGCUGAGGGGCGAAAGCGUGGGGAGCGAACGGG